UGGGGAAUAUUGCACAAUGGGCGCAAGCCUGAUGCAGCCAUGCCGCGUGUGUGAAGAAGGCCUUCGGGUUGUAAAGCACUUUCAGCGAGGAGGAAGGUGGUGAACUUAAUACGUUCAUCAAUUGACGUUACUCGCAGAAGAAGCACCGGCUAACUCCGUGCCAGCAGCCGCGGUAAUACGGAGGGUGCAAGCGUUAAUCGGAAUUACUGGGCGUAAAGCGCACGCAGGCGGUUUGUUAAGUCAGAUGUGAAAUCCCCGGGCUCAACCUGGGAACUGCAUUUGAAACUGGCAAGCUAGAGUCUCGUAGAGGGGGGUAGAAUUCCAGGUGUAGCGGUGAAAUGCGUAGAGAUCUGGAGGAAUACCGGUGGCGAAGGCGGCCCCCUGGACGAAGACUGACGCUCAGGUGCGAAAAGUGUGGGGAGCAAACAGGAUUAGAUACCCUGGUAGUCCACGCUGUAAACGAUGUCGAUUUUGGAGGUUGUGCCCUUGAGGCGUGGCUUCCGGAGCUAACGCGUUAAAUCGACCGCCUGGGGAGUACGGCCGCAAGGUUAAAACUCAAAGG
This 562-nucleotide ribosomal RNA is filed under the name uncultured bacterium. RNAcentral describes it as "partial 16S ribosomal RNA". It matches the Rfam family "Bacterial small subunit ribosomal RNA", at positions 355 to 907 of the family's 1533-position model. The record is from RNAcentral.